GGAAUAUUGCGCAAUGGGCGAAAGCCUGACGCAGCGACGCCGCGCGGGGGAUGAAGGUUUUCGGAUUGUAAACCCCUUUCAUGAGGAAGGAUAAAGUGGGUAACCACUUAGCCGGUACCUCAAGACGAAGCAACGCCCACCUUCGUGCCAGCAGCCGCGGUAAUACGAAGGUGGCAAGCGUUGUUCGGAUUUACUGGGCGUAAAGAGCACGUAGGCGGUUGGGAAAGCCUCUUGGGAAAUCUCCCGGCUUAACCGGGAAAGGUCGAGAGGAACUAUUCAGCUAGAGGACGGGAGAGGAGCGCGGAAUUCCCGGUGUAGCGGUGAAAUGCGUAGAUAUCGGGAAGAAGGCCGGUGGCGAAGGCGGCGCUCUGGAACGUACCUGACGCUGAGGUGCGAAAGCGUGGGGAGCAAA
RNAcentral lists this ribosomal RNA (412 nucleotides) under uncultured bacterium. RNAcentral's name for it is "bacterial SSU rRNA". It matches the Rfam family "Bacterial small subunit ribosomal RNA", at positions 358 to 772 of the family's 1533-position model. The record is from RNAcentral.